This is a long non-coding RNA of Ictalurus punctatus (channel catfish), 1829 nucleotides long. The record is from Ensembl. NCBI's taxonomy places the organism in Eukaryota, Metazoa, Chordata, Actinopteri, Siluriformes, Ictaluridae.
AGGAUUAGAUUAACAGUAGAGUGUGUGUGUGAGGAUUAGGAUUAGAUAAAUAAAGAGUGUGUGUGUGAGGAUUAGGAUUAGAUUAACAGUACAGUGUGUGUGUGAGGAUUAGGAUUAGAUUAACAGUACAGUGUGUGUGAGGAUUAGGAUUAGAUUAACAGUAGAGUGUGUGAGGAUUAGGAUUAGAUUAACAGUAGAGUGUGUGAGGAUUAGGAUUAGAGUAACAGUAGUGUGUGUGUGAGGAUUAGGAUUAGAGUAACAGUAGUGUGUGUGUGAGGAUUAGGAUUAGAUUAACAGUAGUGUGUGUGUGAGGAUUAGGAUUAGAUUAACAGUAUAGAGUGUGUGAGGAUUAGGAUUAGAUAUAGAGUAGAGUGUGUGAGAGGAUUAGGAUUAGAUUAACAGUAGAGUGUGUGAGUAUUAGGAUUAGAUUAACAGUAGUGUGUGUGUGAGGAUUAGGAUUAGAUUAACAGUAGAGUGUGUGUGAGGAUUAGGAUUAGAUUAACAGUAGAGUGUGUGAGGAUUAGGAUUAGAUUAACAGUAGAGUGUGUGAGAGGAUUAGGAUUAGAUUAACAGUAGAGUGUGUGUGAGGAUUAGGAUUAGAUUAACAGUAGAGUGUGUGAGGAUUAGGAUUAGAUUAACAGUGGAGUGUGUGAGUAUUAGGAUUAGAUUAACAGUAGAGUGUGUGAGGAUUAGGAUUAGAUUACCAGUAGAGUGUGUGAGGAUUAGAUUAACAGUCGAGUGUGUGUGAGGAUUAGGAUUAGAUUACCAGUAGAGUGUGUGAGGAUUAGAUUAACCAUCGAGUGUGUGUGAGGAUUAGGAUUAGAUUAACAGUCGAGUGUGUGUGAGGAUUAGGAUUAGAUUAACAGUCGAGUGUGUGUGAGGAUUAGGAUUAGAUUAACAGUCGAUCGAGUGUGAGGAUUAGGAUUAGAUUACCAGUAGAGUGUGUGAGGAUUAGAUUACCAGUCGAGUGUGUGAGGAUUAGAUCAACAGUCGAGUGUGUGCGUGUGUGUGAGGAUUAGGAUUAGAUAAACCGUGUGUUCCGUACACAGAGAGUGAGAGAAAGACUUCACAAUGUUGUACAGUAAAAAUACAGUAUUACUCCGUAAUCCUCACACCAGCACAUUCACUCUUCUAAAAGCAAUCCCGUCUCUCUUUUUUCUCAUGUCUCUAAUUCAUCCUUCCUUUUACUCUUAUAUUUCCCCCUCAGUUGAAUCCGUUCUUUGUGGAAUGUUAUUUCCUGCAGUAUUUUAUUAACCUGCUUAUUGAAAACGGUUGACGUGAGUAAUCCGGCCUCACUCCGCUUUAAUACACGGACCUGCUGUGCACGAUGCUACUUAUUUUACCUGUGCAUUAGUCUGUUUCAUCCAUCAUGAGCUCCACAACGAUGGCUGGAUCAGAUCCAAUUUCACAGGGGAAUUGAGUGGAACGAGUCAGAUUGCUAGCGUGCACCAUGACAGACAGCAAGAGCAUUUGGGCAGGAGUGAAGGGAUAUAUAGUAUACACUAUAUAAUACUAAAGCAAUACCGCUAUGUGUAUCCGCAUCCGUUUCGUGCUCCGAAUAUCCAUAUCUAGAUUAGGAUUUAAACCCGAAGUGGGCGUGGCCUAAACACGGUAUAUGGAACAUAACUUCGUUUUCACUAAUCGUGGUUUAAUUUACGCUUUCAACGUUUCCGUUUGCCAUCCUGGCACAGAUCUCACAUGCGGGCAGGGCUUAACACAUGAUUUCCUCUCAUUGGCUAGUGAGAUUUGGAUCGACAGCUCCCUGUCCAGGAAGUAGAGAUUUGAGCGGUGUGCAUUCUGGAGGCGUUUCUCUGUAUACUGUAGUUACA